AGGUAUAUUGAUCUUUCAUGAACUUGGCUUCGAUUCUAAUGAACUAAUGAUGCGUUAAAGCAUUUGAUGUACUUUUAAAGACUCAUAACUGUGCAAAUUUUAGUGUUCCAAAUUGCUUUCCAUGCGUAUGUUGAAUGUCUCGGUGAUUCUCAUCGUCAAAGUUCUCCGGGCAUGAGGACUGGGUUGUAUAUGCAGCAUCUAUUCAAGCUUCAAAGUAGCGCGGCACAAUGACUGUAAGGUAAACCAAGCAAUAGACAAGGAUUGAAAAGAUGGUGAUUUUCUGCUACUGUUGUUAUUGAACAUUUAAUUUGGUUAGACACUCUUAAGCUUUUCCUGCUUUUUCGUAAGGCUAAUCCCAAAACUUAUUUCGAUUUCCUGUCAAUUCCAUGGAAAUAGCCUCUCGUUCUAGUUCCAAAUUAUCUGAGUGCCAAAUUUUUUGAAGUUCUCUGUGUUGUUCUGAGCACUAGUAGCUUAAUCCGAUGCAUGGUAUUUGUACAGCCUAUCUUCCUUUGACUUUUACAUUGUCAUGUCUCUAUUAGAUGUAAACACAUCGCAGCGCUAACUAAUUCAGAGGUUUUUAUAUGACAAUAGCUACCCUGUUAUAAUGAAAAGUAUAUUGUGCUAAUUUCUAAAUAUCAAGGAGUAAAUAAAAAAUAUAGUGUAAUAGCAUUCAAUUAGUGAUAGAAGGAAUUUGUUAUUUGAAAAGCAAUCAAAACAUCUGAGGCUGCGACUGCCCAACUUUUAGAAACUAAUGCUACUGACAAUUAUCUCUGCUAAGAUCCCUCCUCUCUUACCCUCUUCUUAUUUUUGGCAUUUGAAGAACACUGAACAACUAUAGCUGGGCUUCUUACGGUGUGUUGUCAUUUUUGCCUCUCUGGUCAUCAGGCUCUGUUGAUCUGUACUUGUAGCGAGUAGCCCAGAGGAGAUAAUGUAGGAAAUUUAACCCACUUAAUAUGCACAUCAACCAAUAAAACCUUUCAAGGUGAUAAUGAUUCAAAUUACUCCCGUAGAGCCAUG
This 1017-nucleotide long non-coding RNA is filed under the name Nicotiana tabacum (common tobacco). Its description in RNAcentral is "long non-coding RNA (NTAB_LNC008583)". The record is from RNAcentral. Lineage: Eukaryota; Viridiplantae; Streptophyta; Magnoliopsida; Solanales; Solanaceae.